GAUGAACGCUGGCGGCGUGCCUAAUACAUGCAAGUCGAGCGAACAGAUGAGGAGCUUGCUCCUCUGACGUUAGCGGCGGACGGGUGAGUAACAUGUGGAUAACCUACCUAUAAGACUGGGAUAACUUCGGGAAACCGGAGCUAAUACCGGAUAAUAUAUUGAACCGCAUGGUUCAAUAGUGAAAGACGGUUUUGCUGUCACUUAUAGAUGGAUCCGCGCCGCAUUAGCUAGUUGGUAAGGUAACGGCUUACCAAGGCAACGAUGCGUAGCCGACCUGAGAGGGUGAUCGGCCACACUGGAACUGAGACACGGUCCAGACUCCUACGGGAGGCAGCAGUAGGGAAUCUUCCGCAAUGGGCGAAAGUCUGACGGAGCAACGCCGCGUGAGUGAUGAAGGUCUUCGGAUCGUAAAACUCUGUUAUUAGGGAAGAACAAAUGUGUAAGUAACUAUGCACGUCUUGACGGUACCUAAUCAGAAAGCCACGGCUAACUACGUG
This 497-nucleotide ribosomal RNA is filed under the name uncultured bacterium. RNAcentral's name for it is "partial 16S ribosomal RNA". It matches the Rfam family "Bacterial small subunit ribosomal RNA", at positions 28 to 507 of the family's 1533-position model. The record is from RNAcentral.